CUGUGUUACAUACAGCUUGGAAAUUUCACCAUUUGGAGCAGAAAUUGCACAGAGCGUAUAAACCUAGAAUACGAUAAGCCGACAAAAGGGAUUUAUGUUGUUAUGGAGAGAGUCUCUGUUAAAGAUUCUGGUGUUUACAGCUGCAUCUUGGACAAGACACUUCCCCCUCCUGUGAGAACGCAAAGCCAGUCUAACAUUUCCCUCACCGUGUCAGCCCUUCCAGUGGUUGAGGUUUCUUCGGCCUCUUCUUCACCCAUUGACAAGGAGACCACGUUAACUUGCAGUGCUUGGGACUUCUAUCCUGGGGACAUCCAGCUCUCCUGGAGUAAGGACAGCCAGUUGCUCACUAACUCAACAAGGAAUGACUCUCUGUUCCACAAUAGCAACGGGUCUUAUUCCUAUAUAAGUAACAUUGUUGUUUCCAAACAUGACUGGAAUGAAUUUGCCCAGUUUUCCUGCCAAGUGAAUCACUCUACACUGAAAAUGCCUGUUGUGAAAAACCUCACCCUGACUCAGUCUGGUAAAGAUAAAUGUGUACUGUGCAUUAUGACCUUCUUAGGUGGUACAAUCUACUCACUACGGUCACCUGUGUCCAAUAGGAAAUAUGGGUGUAAGAUAAAAAAUAUGAUAGAAAACAAGCUGAACGUUUUGAUAUUUUGGCUUCAGUACCUUGUUUUAAAGGCUACUUCAGAUCAACAUUGGCUCUUUUCUGGUGGGAAUUCUGACUGAGAAUAUGGAGCAGUACACAGUGCAGAACAGCUCAGAGAUACAGAAAGAUUAUUGCUUUUUAUUAUUUAUUCUUAAUUCAGUGUAAUCGGUAUUGUACAGACACAGAGCCAGACAGGACUCUGCCCCAAGAACAUACCAUGUUAGGGGAGAUUUUGAAAGUCAGUGGGAGCUGGGUGCUUACCUGCACCUUGUGCCUUGUAAAAUCUUCCCCAAAAUAGACAUUGCAAAGGGAAAGAGUUAUA
This is a non-coding RNA of Mauremys reevesii (Reeves's turtle), 971 nucleotides long. The record is from the annotation of a RefSeq genome assembly. NCBI's taxonomy places the organism in Eukaryota, Metazoa, Chordata, Testudines, Geoemydidae.